Molecule: ribosomal RNA, 397 nt
Filed under: uncultured bacterium
Lineage: Bacteria
Description: partial 16S ribosomal RNA
Rfam family: Bacterial small subunit ribosomal RNA
Source: RNAcentral
AUACGUAGGGGGCGAGCGUUGUCCGGAAUGAUUGGGCGUAAAGGGCGCGUAGGCGGCGCGGUAAGUCUGGAGUGAAAGUCCUGCUUUCAAGGUGGGAAUUGCUUUGGAUACUGCCGCGCUUGAGUGCAGGAGAGGUUAUCGGAAUUCCCGGUGUAGCGGUGAAAUGCGUAGAGAUUGGGAGGAACACCAGUGGCGAAGGCGACUUACUGGACUGUAACUGACGCUGAGGCGCGAAAGUGUGGGGAGCAAACAGGAUUAGAUACCCUGGUAGUCCACACUGUAAACGAUGAAUGCUAGGUGUAGGGGGUAUCGACCCCUUCUGUGCCGCAGUCAACACAAUAAGCAUUCCGCCUGGGGAGUACGGCCGCAAGGUUGAAACUUAAAGGAAUUGACGGGG